Molecule: ribosomal RNA, 635 nt
Filed under: Escherichia coli
Lineage: Bacteria; Pseudomonadati; Pseudomonadota; Gammaproteobacteria; Enterobacterales; Enterobacteriaceae
Description: partial 23S ribosomal RNA
Rfam family: Bacterial large subunit ribosomal RNA
Source: RNAcentral
GUGGACGCCAGUCUGCAUGGAGCCGACCUUGAAAUACCACCCUUUAAUGUUUGAUGUUCUAACGUUGACCCGUAAUCCGGGUUGCGGACAGUGUCUGGUGGGUAGUUUGACUGGGGCGGUCUCCUCCUAAAGAGUAACGGAGGAGCACGAAGGUUGGCUAAUCCUGGUCGGACAUCAGGAGGUUAGUGCAAUGGCAUAAGCCAGCUUGACUGCGAGCGUGACGGCGCGAGCAGGUGCGAAAGCAGGUCAUAGUGAUCCGGUGGUUCUGAAUGGAAGGGCCAUCGCUCAACGGAUAAAAGGUACUCCGGGGAUAACAGGCUGAUACCGCCCAAGAGUUCAUAUCGACGGCGGUGUUUGGCACCUCGAUGUCGGCUCAUCACAUCCUGGGGCUGAAGUAGGUCCCAAGGGUAUGGCUGUUCGCCAUUUAAAGUGGUACGCGAGCUGGGUUUAGAACGUCGUGAGACAGUUCGGUCCCUAUCUGCCGUGGGCGCUGGAGAACUGAGGGGGGCUGCUCCUAGUACGAGAGGACCGGAGUGGACGCAUCACUGGUGUUCGGGUUGUCAUGCCAAUGGCACUGCCCGGUAGCUAAAUGCGGAAGAGAUAAGUGCUGAAAGCAUCUAAGCACGAAACUUGCC